AUUUGCGGCAGGCUUUAACAUGCAAGUCGAACGGUAACAGGGUGCUUGCACCGCUGACGAGUGGCGAACGGGUGAGUAAUGCAUCGGAAUGUACCGUGUAAUGGGGGAUAGCUCGGCGAAAGCCGGAUUAAUACCGCAUACGCCCUGAGGGGGAAAGUGGGGGACCGAAAGGCCUCACGUUAUACGAGCAGCCGAUGUCUGAUUAGCUAGUUGGUGGGGUAAAGGCUCACCAAGGCGACGAUCAGUAGCGGGUCUGAGAGGAUGAUCCGCCACACUGGGACUGAGACACGGCCCAGACUCCUACGGGAGGCAGCAGUGGGGAAUUUUGGACAAUGGGCGCAAGCCUGAUCCAGCCAUGCCGCGUGUCUGAAGAAGGCCUUCGGGUUGUAAAGGACUUUUGUCCGGGAGCAAAUCCCAGUGGUUAACACCUACUGGGGCUGAGAGUACCGGAAGAAUAAGCACCGGCUAACUACGUGCCAGCAGCCGCGGUAAUACGUAGGGUGCAAGCGUUAAUCGGAAUUACUGGGCGUAAAGCGUGCGCAGGCGGUUGUGCAAGUCUGAUGUGAAAGCCCCGGGCUUAACCUGGGAACGGCAUUGGAGACUGCACGACUAGAGUGCGUCAGAGGGGGGUAGAAUUCCGCGUGUAGCAGUGAAAUGCGUAGAGAUGCGGAGGAAUACCGAUGGCGAAGGCAGCCCCCUGGGAUGACACUGACGCUCAUGCACGAAAGCGUGGGGAGCAAACAGGAUUAGAUACCCUGGUAGUCCACGCCCUAAACGAUGUCAACUAGCUGUUGGGGGUUUGAAUCCUUGGUAGCGAAGCUAACGCGAGAAGUUGACCGCCUGGGGAGUACGGCCGCAAGGUUAAAACUCAAAGGAAUUGACGGGGACCCGCACAAGCGGUGGAUGAUGUGGAUUAAUUCGAUGCAACGCGAAAAACCUUACCUGGUCUUGACAUGUAACGAACGCUGCAGAGAUGUGGUUGGUGCCCGAAGGGAGCGUUAACACAGUGCUGCAUGGCUGUCGUCAGCCUCCGUGUCGUGAGAUGUUGGUUAAGUCCCGCAACGAGCGCCAACCCUUGCCAUUAGUUGCCAUCAUUAAAGUUGGCCACCUCUAAUUGGGACUGGCCGGUGACCAACCCGGAGAAGUGUGGGGAUGACGUUCAAGUUCCCUCAUGGCCAUUUAUUGACAGCUUUCCCAACGUCUAUACAAUGUCCGUACAGAAGGGUCGCCGGAAAGCCCGCGCUAG
RNAcentral lists this ribosomal RNA (1246 nucleotides) under Chromobacterium haemolyticum. RNAcentral describes it as "bacterial SSU rRNA". It matches the Rfam family "Bacterial small subunit ribosomal RNA", at positions 35 to 1265 of the family's 1533-position model. Lineage: Bacteria; Pseudomonadati; Pseudomonadota; Betaproteobacteria; Neisseriales; Chromobacteriaceae. The record is from RNAcentral.